CGGUCGAUAGCGCAUGGAACGCCCGGUUUUCCGCCAACCGCCGAUUUUAUCGCUACCGGAUCGUGAACCGGCGCGGCCGGC
This 81-nucleotide transfer RNA is filed under the name Gluconacetobacter liquefaciens. Its description in RNAcentral is "tRNA-Arg". The record is from RNAcentral. Lineage: Bacteria; Pseudomonadati; Pseudomonadota; Alphaproteobacteria; Acetobacterales; Acetobacteraceae.